This 74-nucleotide transfer RNA is filed under the name Candidatus Levyibacteriota bacterium. RNAcentral's name for it is "Candidatus Levybacteria bacterium tRNA-Val". It matches the Rfam family "tRNA". Rfam says of the family: Transfer RNA (tRNA) molecules are approximately 80 nucleotides in length. Their secondary structure includes four short double-helical elements and three loops (D, anti-codon, and T loops). The record is from RNAcentral. Lineage: Bacteria; Candidatus Levyibacteriota.
GGACCCUUAGCUCAGUUGGUAGAGCACUGCAUUCACAUUGCAAAGGUCAGAAGUUCGAGACUUCUAGGGUCCAC